Molecule: ribosomal RNA, 484 nt
Filed under: uncultured bacterium
Lineage: Bacteria
Description: partial 16S ribosomal RNA
Rfam family: Bacterial small subunit ribosomal RNA
Source: RNAcentral
AUUGAACGCUGGCGGCAGGCCUAACACAUGCAAGUCGAGCGGAUGAAGGGAGCUUGCUCCUGGAUUCAGCGGCGGACGGGUGAGUAAUGCCUAGGAAUCUGCCUGCUAGUGGGGGAUAACGUCCGUACACGGGCGCUAAUACCGCAUACGUCCUGAGGGAGAAAGUGGGGGAUCUUCGGACCUCACGCUAUCAGAUGAGCCUAGGUCGGAUUAGCUAGUUGGUGGGGUAAAGGCUUACCAAGGCGACGAUCCGUAACUGGUCUGAGAGGAUGAUCAGUCACACUGGAACUGAGACACGGUCCAGACUCCUAAGGGAGGCAGCAGUGGGGAAUAUUGGACCAUGGGCGAAAGCCUGAUCCAGCCAGGCCGCGUGUGUGAAGAAGGUCUUCGGAUUGUAAAGCACUUUAAGUUGGGAGGAAGGGCAGUAAGUUAAUACCUUGCUGUUUUGACGCUACCAACAGAAUAAGCACCGGCUAACUUCGUG